UAAAUGGCCCUUUUCAGGGCCACAAAUUAAUUUCUAUACAAAUAAA
Molecule: regulatory RNA element, 46 nt
Organism: Tribolium castaneum (red flour beetle)
Lineage: Eukaryota; Metazoa; Arthropoda; Insecta; Coleoptera; Tenebrionidae
Rfam family: Histone 3' UTR stem-loop
About the family: The mRNAs of metazoan histone genes lack a poly-A tail. 3' end processing occurs at a site between a highly conserved stem-loop (modelled by this family) and a purine rich region around 20 nts downstream (the histone downstream element, or HDE). The stem-loop is bound by a 31 kDa stem-loop binding protein (SLBP - also termed the histone hairpin binding protein, or HBP).
Source: Rfam